GGGCCCUUAGCUCAGUCGGUCAGAGCGGGGGACUCAUAAUCCCCUGGUCGCAGGUUCGAGUCCUGCAGGGCCCA
Molecule: transfer RNA, 74 nt
Filed under: Planctomycetota bacterium
Lineage: Bacteria; Pseudomonadati; Planctomycetota
Description: tRNA-Ile
Rfam family: tRNA
About the family: Transfer RNA (tRNA) molecules are approximately 80 nucleotides in length.
Source: RNAcentral